Long non-coding RNA from Oncorhynchus keta (chum salmon), 366 nucleotides. RefSeq lists it as uncharacterized. The transcript is spliced from 4 exons. The record is from RefSeq and is a predicted model, not a curated record. Lineage: Eukaryota; Metazoa; Chordata; Actinopteri; Salmoniformes; Salmonidae.
GACAGAGAGAACAGACUAGUCAUCAGUCACAGUGGAGAAGGUUCAGACAGAGAGAACAGACUAGUCACAGUGGAGAAGGUUCAGACAGAGAGAACAGACUAGUCACAGUGGAGAAGGUUCAGACAGAGAGAACGGACUAGUCACAGUGGAGAAGGUUCAGACAGAGAGAACGGACUAGUCACAGUGGAGAAGGUUCACACAGAGAGAACAGACCAGUCAUCAGUCACAGUGGAGAAGGUUCAGACAGAGAGAACAGACUAGUCAUCAGUCACAGUGGAGAAGGUUCAGACAGAGAGAACAGACUAGUCACAGUGGAGAAGGUUCAGACAGAGAGAACAGACUAGUCACAGUGGAGAAGGUUCAGAC